RNAcentral lists this long non-coding RNA (599 nucleotides) under Solanum tuberosum (potato). RNAcentral describes it as "long non-coding RNA (STUB_LNC006571)". The record is from RNAcentral. Lineage: Eukaryota; Viridiplantae; Streptophyta; Magnoliopsida; Solanales; Solanaceae.
AAAAAAAAAAGAGAACUAUGUACCUAUCCUUACACGUGUUUCCAAAUAACUGGUUCUUGAAAGACAAACUAUUUGGACGCAUCCUUCAUUUGGUUAGCAAUUCCUGCUUCGUUUGCUCAGCCAUUUUAGAUAAAUCUUAUAUUCUCCUCGAGGUCCUUACAACAAAUCUUUGGAAACCUGAAGAUCAAUUCUUGAUGCCAUUUAAAAGUACUUCAAGCUCACUUUUUGACACCAUUUAAAUUGAAGCAAGUCAUAGUAUCAUGAGAGAAAAAUAAAAAUAAGUUAACAUGAUAUAGUCCCAAAAAGGAAAAAGAAAUUAAGAAACCAUAGAAAAACAGAUACCAAAACAACCAUUUGUUAUCAUCUACUAUUAUUCAAGAUUUAAUCAAACAAAAUAGAAAAGAAAACGGGAUAAAAAAUAUACCAGGCCCGAGAGCAUGGCCGUAAUUCUUGAAGCGACCCAUCUCCACAAGUAGAAGUUGCGCUUGGAUCAGUAUAUGAAUCCUAAUUACUGAGGAGAUCUAUUUCAGACUUUUGAUUUCUGAAAAGAUGUGUAGCGGUAUUGGAGAUGAAACGGUCAUAACUCCUGGGAAUUUGAA